GGAGGAUUGGCGCAAUUGGCAGCGCGUCCGUCUCCAAAGCGGAAGGUCGGGAGUUCAAGUCUCUCAUUCUCCA
This is a transfer RNA of 73 nucleotides. It matches the Rfam family "tRNA". From Rfam's summary of the family: Transfer RNA (tRNA) molecules are approximately 80 nucleotides in length. Their secondary structure includes four short double-helical elements and three loops (D, anti-codon, and T loops). Further hydrogen bonds mediate the characteristic L-shaped molecular structure. tRNAs have two regions of fundamental functional importance: the anti-codon, which is responsible for specific mRNA codon recognition, and the 3' end, to which the tRNAs corresponding amino acid is attached (by aminoacyl-tRNA synthetases). tRNAs cope with the degeneracy of the genetic code in two manners: having more than one tRNA (with a specific anti-codon) for a particular amino acid; and 'wobble' base-pairing, i.e. permitting non-standard base-pairing at the 3rd anti-codon position. The record is from Rfam.